AUAUGCGUUUUGUUUGUUAUCGGGUUGCGUUUCGUUUUGCAGAGAAAUUAGUCAUCGGCCGAGAUGCAUCUCUGGUUCGUCGGCGAAGAGAACGCCGGCUAUUAGGAAAUGGGCGGUUGGCGGAGUCACUGAAUUGCUCCGGCUCGCUUUCGUCACUGAAUUUCUCCAGCUCGCUUUGUCCCCUUUUUCCUCCAUCCCUACAAAUAAGGAUAAGGUAGUCCAAACUACCUCCUAGGUUUGAUGUAGACAAGGAUCAAGAGAUUUGAACCCUUCACCUUCCUAAGAGCUGCGCAGUAAAAGAACUUAAACGUCAAGCAAAUGGCAAUGUGUUAAAAAAAGCUGCCUAUCUUGAAGCUUGCAUUGAGCUGCACAGAGUUGGAGCUCUGACUGAUAAUCCUCUACUUAAUAAGAAUGAAGCCAGACUCUCCAAUAUAUUUUUUCUGGGCACCAGAACUGAGCUUGAAGAAGAUGCAAUUGGGAGCACAGGCUUCCGGUUGGAAGAUCAUUUUGGUCUUUUUGUGUAGAAAGUUUCAGAUAGCUCUUUUACGACUUCUUUUGGAUCACAGUAUGAAAAAUUUGAUUGAAUGGAUUGCAUCUCAGAGACGGGGUAGCACUUGAUUAUCUACUGGUUCCGUCCACUCAUGAGCAUGAAACAUCUCUUAUCAAUUGGGAGCUGAUUAGAUCCUUGAAUUUAACUUGUCAUAAUGCUUGGGAAAGGCACAUUCGGUUAGGAAAAAGACUAACCGACUUCUAAAGAUAAGUUAUUCAGAAAGAAAGAAAAAAUGUCUGAAGAUAGAGUGGGACUUCAUUAGUCAAAUGCUUAACAUUUGCGUCUAUAUGUGUUUAGUACUUGAAUUUCAAGAUAUCUAUCUUUUUUUUGUUAA
Long non-coding RNA from Eutrema salsugineum, 884 nucleotides. RefSeq lists it as uncharacterized. The transcript is spliced from 3 exons. Lineage: Eukaryota; Viridiplantae; Streptophyta; Magnoliopsida; Brassicales; Brassicaceae. The record is from RefSeq and is a predicted model, not a curated record.